RNAcentral lists this ribosomal RNA (274 nucleotides) under uncultured bacterium. RNAcentral describes it as "partial 16S ribosomal RNA". It matches the Rfam family "Bacterial small subunit ribosomal RNA", at positions 523 to 796 of the family's 1533-position model. The record is from RNAcentral.
CUACGGAGGGUCCAAGCGUUAUCCGGAUUCAUUGGGUUUAAAGGGUCCGCAGGCGGGAAAAUAAGUCAGUGGUGAAAGCCUACAGCUCAACUGUAGAACUGCCAUUGAAACUGUUUUUCUUGAGUAUAGAUGAAGUGGGCGGAAUAUAUCAUGUAGCGGUGAAAUGCAUAGAUAUGAUAUAGAACACCGAUUGCGAAGGCAGCUCACUAAACUAUUACUGACGCUCAGGGACGAAAGCGUGGGGAGCGAACAGGAUUAGAAACCCUUGUAGUCC